RNAcentral lists this ribosomal RNA (254 nucleotides) under Draconarius sublutulentus. RNAcentral describes it as "partial 12S ribosomal RNA". Lineage: Eukaryota; Metazoa; Arthropoda; Arachnida; Araneae; Agelenidae. The record is from RNAcentral.
AUCGACAAUCCACGUUAAUUUUCACUUCUUUUCAAAUUUAUAUACCGCCAUCUUAAGAAUAAAUUAAAAAAUAUUUCUCCAAAAAACCAAUAAAAAGUUAGGUCAAGGUGUAAUUUAUAUAGAAGAAUUCGAUGAAUUACAUUAAAUAUAAUUUAAAGAUUAUAGAUGUAUAUAUUUAUAUAAAUAAGGAUUUAAAAGUAAUAUUCAAACAAUAAUAUAAUAUGAUAAAGACAAUAAAUGUGCACACAUCGCCC